GAUUUCUGGCUUGAAACAUUUGGCCGGCCACGGUUUCGUGUGUUAGUGCUUUGUGUUCUGGCCAUCCUUCCAGUGGCUAUGCAUGUCUCUUCAUUGAGGCGUGCGUGGUAUUGGAUCUUUUACUUUGAAAAAAUUAGAGUGUUUCAAGCAGGCUUUAUGCUAUGAAUACAUUAGCAUGGAAUAAUAAUUUAGGACUUCGGUUCUAUUUUGUUGGUUUCUAGAACAGAAGUAAUGAUUGAUAGGGAUAGUUGGGGGUGCUAGUAUUCAGCGGCCAGAGGUGAAAUUCUCGGAUUCGCUGAAGACUAACUUAUGCGAAAGCAUU
This 322-nucleotide ribosomal RNA is filed under the name Sandonidae sp. RNAcentral's name for it is "SSU rRNA". The stretch from base 112 to 322 matches the Rfam family "Eukaryotic small subunit ribosomal RNA", at positions 744 to 955 of the family's 1831-position model. Lineage: Eukaryota; Cercozoa; Glissomonadida; Sandonidae. The record is from RNAcentral.